This is a small nucleolar RNA of Rhineura floridana, 72 nucleotides long. RefSeq annotates it as small nucleolar RNA SNORD18. Lineage: Eukaryota; Metazoa; Chordata; Lepidosauria; Squamata; Rhineuridae. The record is from RefSeq and is a predicted model, not a curated record. The transcript has a single exon.
CUGAAAUGAUGACAUUCCACUUAGUUGGUCCAUGUUUUUGAAUUCGGUGGUAACAGUGGAAGUUCUGGUGUU